AGAGUUUGAUUAUGGCUCAGAACGAACGCUGGCGGCGCGUUUUAAGCAUGCAAGUCGAGCGGCAAGGGUCUUCGGGCCCCUAGAGCGGCGGACGGGUGAGUAACACGUGGACAAUCUGCCCCCCGGCCGGGGAUAGCCCAGGGAAACCUGGAUUAAUACCGGAUGAGACGGGACCCGCGGAGGCGGGAUCCGGGAAAGGCGCUGCGGCGCCGCCGGGGGAUGAGUCUGCGUCCCAUUAGCUUGACGGCGGGGUAACGGCCCACCGUGGCGACGAUGGGUAGCCGGCCUGAGAGGGUGGACGGCCACAUUGGAACUGAGACACGGUCCAGACUCCUACGGGAGGCAGCAGCUAAGAAUCUUCCGCAAUGGGCGAAAGCCUGACGGAGCGACGCCGCGUGAACGAAGAAGGCCGUGAGGUUGUAAAGUUCUUUUCGGGAGGGGGAACAACCGUGGCAGGGAAUGGCCGCGGGAUGACGUGAAUCCCGGAAUAAGCCCCGGCUAACUACGUGCCAGCAGCCGCGGCAACACGUAGGGGGCGAGCGUUGUUCGGAAUCAUUGGGCGUAAAGGGCGUGCAGGCGGUCCUGCAAGUCCGGCGUGAAAGACCCCGGCCCAACCGGGGGGGCGCGCUGGAAACUGCAGGGCUUGAGUACAGGAGGGGAUGCCGGAAUUCCAGGUGUAGGGGUGAAAUCUGUAGAUAUCUGGAGGAACACCAAUGGCGAAGGCAGGCAUCUGGCCAUGUACUGACGCUGAGACGCGAAGGUGCGGGGAGCAAACAGGAUUAGAUACCCUGGUAGUC
This 797-nucleotide ribosomal RNA is filed under the name uncultured Sphaerochaeta sp. Its description in RNAcentral is "bacterial SSU rRNA". It matches the Rfam family "Bacterial small subunit ribosomal RNA", at positions 8 to 795 of the family's 1533-position model. Lineage: Bacteria; Pseudomonadati; Spirochaetota; Spirochaetia; Spirochaetales; Sphaerochaetaceae. The record is from RNAcentral.